Long non-coding RNA from Lycium barbarum (goji berry), 2881 nucleotides. RefSeq lists it as uncharacterized. Lineage: Eukaryota; Viridiplantae; Streptophyta; Magnoliopsida; Solanales; Solanaceae. The transcript is spliced from 2 exons. The record is from RefSeq and is a predicted model, not a curated record.
UUUAAAAAUUUUAAGUUGUUUUUGAAAUUUUCUUUUUUAGAAUAGCUUAGUAAAUUAUUUUUGAUUAAUCUACCAAGUUUCAUAAUUUUUGGAGUUGAUUUGAUCAUGAUUUGGGGUUUUGGAGUGGCUCACAGUGAAAAAUAAAUAAAAAAGAGCACAAAACUGUUGUAGGAUUAGUCACUUGAUUUUUCAAUUUUGGGCUCAAUAGCCACUAAGUGCAGACCACACUUGGUGUUUAUUUCAAAUGGCACAUCUCAGUUUUCUAAGCAAAUGCAACAUGGUUCAAGGACAAUUUUUGUGGGGAAUGCUUGUAUAUGAAAUAUGACGAACAUGUGCUGGAAGCUAAAAGAAUCCGAAUUGGUUUCUGUUUGUCAAGAAAUUUGCUACUGAAGUUGUGCCGAUACUUGUUGACAUUAAAAGGGCCUCUGGUUCAUCCAAAAUGGUUCAAGGAAGAGCAAACACAUGGAAAACUCUCAUUGACACUUUUUUUUCAGGGAGUCCCUCUUACUUUGCUCUUAUUGAUAGUUGCAUUGGGACAUUGCAACAUUUUAGUUGGGGGAGGAGCUUAAAUGUUGAAUGAUAUUCAUGUGAGUGUGAAAUGAUAUACUUUGACGGAUUUGGUAGAUUGACUUUUUGUUUUGAUAUUUUUUAUUGUGAUUCUGACAUGUUUAUAUUAGUAUGAUAGGCUAGUUUUUGUUUGUUUGUGUAUGCCCAUGUGUUGUCAUGUAUUAGCAAUAUCCCUAGCUUUCUUUGCCGUGGUUCUUUUCCUGAGGAUGCUAAUGUCUUUUGAACCCGAUGUUUUUAGGUAGUUUUGAGUCGGCUUGUCCCUAUGAUAGAUAGUUGGGCACUUUCUUAAGGGAAAUAAGCCUUGUAGGUUAGGUGCGGAAGUGAGUUUUAGGAGUAAAAAUGGUGUUGGGAUGUGAUUUUUUGCCUCUUGGCUAAUUUUUGGCUUGCUUGGUACCAACUUAUUUAAACCUUGGCAUAUGAAUUCUUGAUUCUUGAAAAAAAAAAUGAUUGAAGUAAGGUUUCUUGUUGUGACUUUUAGAUUCAAUUUUUGGCUCUUGCUUUCACUAAUUAGUCUCUUUAGGCUAUGAGUGACUUUUUGAGUUCAUUUGUUUCAAUUGGUUCUUGGAUACAUAUUCUACUUGAGUUUUCAUGUGUCAUGUGUGAUGAGGUUUAUUUGUGAGUUCUUUUGCAUUAUUUGUGGUCUAGAACUUGCCCGGAAUGAGUUUCAAGGCGAAAUCCUAGACUACACUUGGUUUGAAAAAUGAUGUUAGGCCUUCCUUGAACCGCUUUUGUGCCUUAAAUAUCCUACCCUUGCAUAUUUUCCCUAGUCAACCCCUUUUGAGCCUUUAACCUUUUCUUUGACAACCAUGUUACAAGCUUUACGCCGUUCUUCAUUGAUCCAUCUUUUGGUACCCUACCUCCUUAAGUGCGUUGAAAGUGCAAACAUAGGCUAAAAGCCUAAGUUUGGGGGUGAUGGUUGGAAAAAGUUGUUAUGUGGGAGUUACUUUAAAGGUGAAAAGGUGAAAAAAAAUAUAGUAGUAGAAUAAAAAAAUAAAAAAAUAAAAAGAGGAAAAGGAAGGAAUAAUAAAGAGUUAUGAAUAAAGGGAAGACUAGUUGGUGAAGUGAAAAGAUGAAGAAAAUGGUGGAAAAGUUUUAAAGGAAGUGUGCUUUGAUUGUUGAAAUUGUAGUGCUUAGGGAGGUUUUUGAGACGCUAUUUCCAAAUUAUGUCCUACCUUAACCAAAAGCCUACAUUACAACCCUUUAAGUCCUAAUUGAUUUUGAACCAAAUGUGUCUACAUUAGUGGAGAAAUACAUGAAGGGCAAGCCUAUGGUACUACUUGUAUGCGUUUGAACAUCAUUGUGAAAGAGAGAGAGUUAAUUCUUUCUAUUCGAUGUACCAUUUGUGUUUUGAAUUACAUUUUCUAAGUGUGGGAUUCUCUCUUGAGUGUGAAGGCACAUGAGAAGUUAAGUUGUGAAUUUGUUCCAUUUUUCAAUUGAGAGGAAUGAACAAAAGAAAGUUGUUUUGUGAUAAUGAGGCAAAUUUUGAAGCUUUAGUGUCGUGACUUGAUUGCUAGUUUGAUUAGUUUGGUAUUUGAACACUUGAAAAAAAAAGUUUUUGAGAAGUUGGUGAUUCAUAUGUUUUUUGGAUUAAUUGUUGGUACUAAUCAAAGUCAUGUGUUUGUGCUUAAAGUAGACUUUUUGACUUGGUGUGAUGUUGGUGCACUAUAGAGUUGAUUUCUUGGAAGGAGAUUGUAUAUUUUGAAUUGCUUGAGGACAAGCAAUAGUUUAAGUUUGGGGGUUUGAUAAGUUAGUAUUUUACUAACUUGUCUCUUCUUUAAUCUUAGAUUUUUGCUAUGCUUGAUUGAGAAAAUAGUGCAUUUAAUGUCGUUUACUUCCAUUUUGUAGGUUUUAUGUGAUUUAGAAGUGAUCGAGAAGAAAUCAAUUGAAAACAAGUCAAAAAGAGGGCAAAUUGAAGAAAACAAGAAAAGUGGCUAAAUUUGCAAAAACGGCCAGAUUUGCAAUUUCGAAAAUCUGAAACUUUGGGGGCUGUUUUUGUCCUUUUUUUUUUAGUUGGGAAAUUUGGGAAUUAUAAAAGUGAAGUUUGGGGCAAAAUAUUAUCAUCUUUGGCCAUCUUCCAAGCUUAGAGCAAGAAACUACACUAGGGUUUGAAGAUUUGGAGGCACACAAUGAGAAAUUCUUUACUCAUUUCUUCAUCUCUUGCUAUUUAUUGAAUAUUUAUGUGUGCAGUAUUUCAUUUCAAUACUUGAACCUUGUUUAUGAAAGUAUACAUUGUUUAAGUUUGGAUUGAAUCUCUUAUUUUGCUUAUGUGUUGAAUGAUUUUAUAAUUAAUAGAAGUGAGUUAAUGUUGUUUUAA